RNAcentral lists this ribosomal RNA (379 nucleotides) under uncultured eukaryote. RNAcentral describes it as "partial 18S ribosomal RNA". It matches the Rfam family "Eukaryotic small subunit ribosomal RNA", at positions 592 to 976 of the family's 1831-position model. The record is from RNAcentral.
CAAUAGCGUAUAUUUAAGUUGUUGCAGUUAAAAAGCUCGUAGUUGGAUUUCGAAUGGGACUUGCCGGUCCGUCGUUUCGAUGUGCACUGGCCAGUCCUAUCUUGUUGUCGGGGACUAGCUCCUGGGCUUCACUGUCCGGGACUAGGAGCUGACGAGGUUACUUUGAGUAAAUUAGAGUGUUCAAAGCAAGCCUACGCUCUGAAUACAUUAGCAUGGAAUAACACGAUAGGACUCUGGCUUAUCUUGUUGGUCUGUGAGACCAGAGUAAUGAUUAAGAGGGACAGUCGGGGGCAUUCGUAUUUCAUUGUCAGAGGUGAAAUUCUUGGAUUUAUGAAAGACGAACUUCUGCGAAAGCAUUUGUCAAGGAUGUUUUCAUUAA